Molecule: small RNA, 3692 nt
Filed under: Olea europaea subsp. europaea
Lineage: Eukaryota; Viridiplantae; Streptophyta; Magnoliopsida; Lamiales; Oleaceae
Source: RNAcentral
UAUAAGAAGUUACUUAUAGGUAAAAAUUCACUUAUGAGCAAAAUUAUUUAGAAGUACAAAUUAACUUAUAAUUAUAAAGUUUACUUAAAAGUAAAAAUUUUUAAUUAAAUAUAUAACUUUUUAAAUUAAAUAUUAGCUUAUAUGUAAAAAAAAUACAUAUACAAGUAGAAUCACUUAUUAGUGAAAAAAUUUCAUACAAGAAAUUAUAAAUCUAAAAUUUCAAUAAUGGACAUAUAUUAAUUUUAUUAAUUUAAAAUGUUUGGAUAAUAAACUCCUAAUCGUUGAUUAAACUGUUUUAAAAAUCGCUACUAAAAUCACUCAUAAUUGAUCAAUUCAUAAUCCCUCAAAGCCGAUACUUUAAAAAACGCUCCCAAGCAGUCCUAUAAGAUUCUUUAUAUUGUCUCUUGCUUAUCAGGAUUCUUGGCUUCAAAUAAAAUGUGUGGCAUCUGAAUCCACAGGUGAUGGACAUGAGCAAUGGAUUCAACAAAAUGCUGAUUUUAAUCAUGUUUACUUUGGUGGAGACAGUGCUGGAGCCAACAUAGCUCACAACAUGGCCAUAAGAUUUGGUCAAGAGAAGUUGCCUGGGAUCAAUCUAGAUGGAAUUUUUCUCAACUGUCCAUUUUUUUGGGGUAAAGAUUCAAUUGGGAACGAAGGGACAUCCUUAGUAUUUAAGAAGAGUUAUGUUGAUAAUUUUUGGGCUUUUUCUUUUCCAAGCGCUACAGGUUUAGAUGACCCUUUGAUAAAUCCUUCCAUGGAUUUGAAUCUUUCAAAACUGGGGUGCAAAAAAGUGCUUAUUUAUGUUGCAGAAGAAGAUAUUCUUAAGGAACGAGGUUAUCAUUACAAGGAAGCAUUGAAGAAAUGUGGGUGGAAUGGAGAGGUAGAUAUUGUAGAUGUAAAAGGGGAGAACCAUGUAUUUAGUGUGCUUUUCCCUAACAGUGAAAAUGGCAAGGCUAUGCUGAAAAGAGUGGCUUCUUUCAUUAAUCAGUAGUCGUAAUAUUGAGAGAAGAAAAAAGAAGCUAAAACUCUCGUCUGUUGUAUUGUCAAGUCGUGUUAUAUUGUGUAUGUCUUAUUUGCGACAAGUUGCUUCAUAUAUUGUGUAUGUCUUAUUUGCGGAGCAAUAGCUCGAGGUGCUCGUAUGGGCUGCUAGUUCCGUAGCUUGUAAUAAUUUGGUGUUGAACGGAAAUUUUAAAAGAAAUUGUUAAAGAGUAAUUCUUGAAUUUCACUGGUAUCUCUUUAUAGUAUGUAACAUGUAUGAAUUUGUUGAUUGGAAUGUGUGAAUAUAUGAAUAAGUUAGUCUAUGAGUAAAAUAAACAUAUUCAAUCAAAACAAAGUGAGGUUGGGAAUCAAUUUUAGAAAACUCACUUCUUAGACCACUCUAAGCAUAUAGGUUUUGCACUUGUUUUCUAACUUGAGCGUCAGAGCGUCCAAACUUGCAUAUUUGACAGUUCUUCUUUCGUCUUCAUUUUAUGUCUUACACCCACGACACAAUUACUAAGCCUAAUGUGUAGCAAGUUUAUAAGACUCAAGUAGAAAGAACAAUAAUAUGCAUUCAUUUGAAUAAUGAAUCACACCACCGUUAUUCGUAGCCACUCUUUAUCUCACUUUAUAGGUUGUACGCCCCACAAUUAAUUCUUCAAGACAUCAUACACAAUCAAAGUCGAACUUGGAUGCUAUUAUGCUAGAUGUUGGAUGCAUAUGGUGGCCUUUUUGGAGUGGAUAAAAUAGUGUUGAAAUAUGUAUUUGAUGAUAUAUUUUAUUUCUUCUAGAUAUUGAAUUUAUUUGUGUUGUUAGCUCAAGGUUUUAUAAAAAAAUAUUCGAUUUCAAUUUGGGUUCGGAUUCAGUAAUUAUGUAAACUAGAACGGUCCCGUUUAUGAAAUACUCGAGUGACUUCGAGUAUUGAAAUAUUUGACCGAUCCGACUGAUGCUAGACAUUGCUUACGAGUCCAAAAACCAUUUUCCUUUGGUUUUCAAUACCAAUGGUUACAAAUUUAACUGAAAUACUCCAUCAUUUUUCCACAUUGAAACGAACAUUAAAUGACAAUUGUCGAAAGAAGUGCUGGAACACAUAUUGUUCCUGCAUCAACAAAUUUAGAAACUGAGGUUCAAUCCGAAGUCGUCAAGAUUUCACCGGAUUUUGCUACAUCUGCUCCACUCUACCUGCUGGCCGGAACUGCCAAUCCCGGCCGGAAACUUCCACUCCUCGUUUAUUUUCAUGGUGGCGACAGGUGUUUGUACCAUAACCAUAUGAAUCCCCUCCUCGCUGAAACAAAUAUUGUUGUGGUUUUGGUUAGUUAUUGAUUUUCCUGGAGCACCCUGUUUCGAUUACCUGUAAGGAUUCUCGUUACUCUUCUCGUCUUCCAAAAAUGAUCUAGCUGCACGGUAUUAUUGUUAGAAUUAGAAAUUGAGUAUAAAACUUUGUGUAGCUCUUACUAGAAAACCGUAAUAUAGAAUUUCAAUCUAGCUCUAAAAAAGGAAGAUUGUCUAAUAAAGAAUAAUGCUACUUGUAAAUAAUUGUGUACGUUUACAUAUUGAUGGUAUAGAUAAAAUUAACUUACUUCAUUUUAUUUUAAUUGAAUAAUGCUGUUUGCAGUAACUCACUAUCUUAAUAGUCAUAUGUUGCAUACAUGUGACGAUUAAUGAUUUAAUGCAUAGAACAAUAAAAAAACUACCAUAUUAACGCAUCAAAUCACUAACUACCAAUAUUUUGAUAUCUUCAACACCUCCAAACUCAAUAUGGUGCUAUAAAAAUCAAAUCAAUGGUUGAAAAAUUAAAUAGAUUCGAGGUCAUUUUAUUUUGAUUUACUCAUGUGGGCAGCUGGUUUUUUUAGCUCGGUAGAGACAAAAUCUUUUUCCUUAGGAUCCUCUCAAAUGGAAAUAGAACUUAUUUCAAGGUAUUUACAUGGGGUUCAUCUUUAAGAAAGUCCCCGAGAAAAAGUUGACAAAUAAGUCAUCCUUACCGUUACCUUUGGCUUCUCAUUUAAGAAAUAAAGAUUGUCAAGAAUAAUUCUUGAAUUUCUCUGGUAUUUCUUGCAUUUACUAUAUAGAACACUUUGGAAUUGGUGUUUUUUUUUUUUUUUUUUUAGGGGAUUGUGAAGAAGUUUGAAUAGACCUGCUUGAUCCCAUUAUCCAAAAACUCAUUUUCCAUAUAUUUUCACAAUAAAAUAUUAUACACGUAAAUCAAAAUUUUUCAUACUUUUUAAUCACAUAUUAUGCCAAAAAUUCACUAUAUCAAAAUUUAUUUUCAAUGAAAAUGGGGUUCAAAUACAUCCUAAGUAGACACAACAUUCAUUUUGCAUAGCGUUAGACUAAUUUUCAUAUUUGCGCAAUGUUGUCAACAUUCGUUUCGUAACUUUAUGUUACGAGAGUCUACAAUGAAAUAAUAUUGACAUUUCUCGUUACCUAUCUAAGACCCGUUUGACAAUAAUUAAAAUGAGUUUUUUUUUUUUUUUUUUUUUUUUUAUGGUAAAUGAGUUUUGGAAUAAUGAUUUUUUUUUUGGAGAAUAUAUGGUUAAAAAGUAAGAAAUAUUUUUUUGUUUGUCUGCAAAAUAUUAUAUUAUAAAAAUGUGUAGUUGAAAAUAAGUUUGAAUUAUGUAUUUAUUUAUUUUAUUUCAACGGUUGUCAAAAGGGCUAAAUAUAACAAACUAGAAGAAUGAGUCCGUGGCAAUCCUAAAUUUCUUUAAUCAUAUUGCAAA